GGAUGUGAGGGCGAUCUGGCUGCGACACCUGUCACCCCACUGAUCACCAGGGUUCAUUCGGUUGGUCUGGCUGGCUAGGCGGGUGUCCCCUUCCUCCCUCACCGCUCCAUGUGCGUCACUCCCGAAGCUGCGUCGAAGAGGACGGCCUUCCCCUGAAUAGAGAUGGACCAGUCUUCGGUCGAGGGUAUACUGCGCUCCCCUGCUAGACCCUCCAAACAAGCUCUCAAUCUGUUUUCACCUUGAGUCUUAGAUAAAAGACAUGCGACUGCUAGAUAAUACUCACUUUGUCAAGCGGGCCUCUUUCA
Erinaceus europaeus (western European hedgehog) is the source of this 305-nucleotide unclassified non-coding RNA. Its record names the gene 7SK. It matches the Rfam family "7SK RNA". From Rfam's summary of the family: 7SK was discovered as an abundant small nuclear RNA in the mid-70s but a possible function has only recently been suggested. Two independent studies have found that 7SK RNA binds the CDK9/cyclin T complex (known as elongation factor P-TEFb). Lineage: Eukaryota; Metazoa; Chordata; Mammalia; Eulipotyphla; Erinaceidae. The record is from Ensembl.